GUAGGUGAACCUGCGGAAGGAUCAUUACAAAAGAAAGUAAAAAGUAGAUUCGGCUUCCUUCCCAUGAAGAGGUUGCUCGAGAGAGGCUAUUACGCAAGAUUUUUUCGGAUGUCGUUCUUAACGGGUUGGCCCCCCCGAGGGGUUGUUACCGACAUUCUUCUGGAAUCGCGAAAUAGGCCGGGAGUGUGGCAUUAGUAUCCUGCCCUUACACGCACUCUUCUCUGGUCUCUCGCCCAUUCUUCUUUGCUGGUCCAUACCGGGGGGGGGGGAGCCGGAUUGAAUUUACACUUUUUGAUAAACCCCACCGUGCAUUUAUUGAAAGAACCUUUACCCGAUCAAAUUGAUUGGGAAAAAAAAGGAAAAAGGGGAAAGACGCAGUUUUUCCCCUUUUGACUUUUUUUAACCAUUUUGCCUGUAUAUAUUUUGACUGAACUUUUAUAAAAAUUUAAUACAACUUUCAACAACGGAUCUCUUGGCUCUC
This 481-nucleotide unclassified non-coding RNA is filed under the name rhizosphere metagenome. Its description in RNAcentral is "partial ribosomal RNA internal transcribed spacer region". The record is from RNAcentral.